RNA transcript from Oxyura jamaicensis (ruddy duck), 2356 nucleotides. It is a transcript of the gene named HSPB1 associated protein 1, with no coding region annotated. The record is from RefSeq and is a predicted model, not a curated record. The transcript is spliced from 9 exons. NCBI's taxonomy places the organism in Eukaryota, Metazoa, Chordata, Aves, Anseriformes, Anatidae.
GGUCGGGGAAGGGCCGGCGGCCGCCUCCUUCCUCCGCCGGCGAGGGGAGGAGGGAAGCGGAGCCGGGUAGGCACGGCCGGGCCCGGAACAAAAUGGCCGGGGCGGAGAGCGGCGGCUCCGCCGCGCCGGGUGAAGAUGUCAAACCAUUUACUCCUGAGACAGCCAAGGAAAUUGUGAUGUCUCUACAGCAACCUGCAGUCUUCUGUAAUAUGGUUGGCGACUGGCCAGCCCUGCACUGGAAUGUGAAAUACCUUUCUGCAGUGUUGGAUGGAAAGACAAUAGAGUUUAGAAUAGGAUCGAAGACAAUGGAUUUAGUUCCCCAGUUUGAAACCAGGUGUAGCUAUGUGAAAGCUACACUUGAAGAGUUUUUGGCUUGGAGUAGUGGACAACCUUCUUGUCUCUCUGGACCAUUCAGUUGUUUCGAGUACUCCAAAUGUUGGGCUUAUGCUGACUACAAGUAUAUUGCCAGGAUAUUCGAAGACAAAGCGGAGAUUUUCCAGGAUAUAAGGUGGUCUGACUUUGGUUUUCCUGGAAGAAGUGGAAAAGAGAGCACACUGUGGAUUGGGUCUGAAGGAGCAAACACUCCCUGCCAUUUGGACUCCUACGGCUGCAAUUUAGUGUUGCAAGUACAAGGAAGGAAGAGAUGGCACCUCUUCCCACCUGGUGACACCAGUUUCCUUUAUCCCACCAGGAUCCCUUAUGAGGAAUCCAGUGUAUUCAGCCAAGUCAAUGUUGCCAAGCCUGAUCUGAAACGCUUUCCAAAGUUUAGGAACGCAACAGCCCAUGUGGUUACACUCAGUCCAGGACAGGUCCUGCUUGUUCCAAGGCACUGGUGGCACUACGUGGAAUCCAUCGACCCCAUCACCAUCAGCAUAAACUCGUGGAUUGAACUGGAUGCAGAUCAUGAAGCCCGUGUAGAAGAAGCAAUAACUCGAACGCUGGUAUGUGCCAUAAAAUCAGCAGAAAAUCCCAGUGAAGAUGAUAUCUGGCUAAAUCCCACAGAGGUUGAGGCAACAUCCCAUGAAAUCAAUCUCCAGUACCUGAAUAAAGCAAUGUCUGCAUAUUUCAAGUGUCAAAAGGCAAGCGUAUCAGAGCAGACACGUCCCAGUAGCACUGAAGCAGAGCGAGUGAUGAGUGCCUCACGCAAGAGGAGGAAAAAGCAAGUUGGCUGGGAGCCAGAGGGCUGCAAAUUACUAACCCAUGAAUUUGGCCUUUCAACAUUUAAAGCAGAAAAGUUCCAGAAAAUACCUUUUGGGCCUCACCUCAUUCAAGUUCUACCACAGUCUCAAGAAACAAGCUCAGCGGGUACAGUUGAAAGUGACUAUAGAGAUCUUCUCCAUGAAAACAAAGGAGGACAUUUUGGAAAAUUACACUGCACCAGGAAGCAAUUGGCAAUGAGUAAUGACUUAGAAAUGCCUGCAAAUCAAAUGGAUUCAGACGGCAGUCCAAAUGCCUCCCAAACAGCCCUUUCUACCAAUGAUUUGCUAGACUGUUUGGUUAAUCCACAUGUCAUCAGCUUAGUGGCUCAGCUGCUGCUGGAGAGAGCAGGAGUUUAAUGCUCAAGUGCUUUAUCAUAUUUGAAAUAAAGAAGUCAAAUAACAGCCUUGUUCUGGCUGUUUAAGAAAGUAUCCCCUGCUCACUCUCAGCAAUGGGCAUGGCAGCAGUUGAGCAAAUGGUGACCUACAGGCAGCACCAGGAUGGUUCCAGUAGUGAAGUGCUCUUCAUCCCUGCCACAGCUGGGUGAUGGUAAGAAAUUGUCACCAUGUGGCCAAAUGUGGAAGUUAAAGCCCUGGGGCCACUCCAAGCAUCAUGCUGGGCCAGCAUGCUGAUCUCCACACACAUCCAGUCUGUCCCACUUGUCCAGUGGAAACUAUGGUCUUCCCUGCCCCAAAAGCAGCUACAGAGGGGUUCACAGGCAGGCCCCAUUUAUCUCUCCGGGGCUGCUGGACAUCACUACUCACUGGCCCUGUGCACAGCACUCACCUAGGGAUUUGCCCAUUGCUUGUCUGCAAAGAAAAAAUACAUUUCCAAAUCAAAAAGUCCUACCUCUUGAGACAACAGGAUGGGGGAAAACCCUAAACAGCCUCCUCAGUUUCAGUCUUUCACAGAAAAUCUCCCUAUUACAUUUCAGUGGGCAGCACUGUAUUCCACUGCACUGCUUCCCCCCCCACGUUCACAUCUCUCAGGAUUCUGCUCCAGCACCAGUCUCGUGAUACCACAGAGCAGUGUCAUAUGAUACAGCAUGAGCCAUAAAUCAGAGUUUUAACUACUAACAAGUUUGGCACAUCGAGGAGGUAGAGUGAAUCUUUCUGCAGUACUAACUGCCUUUUAAGAAUAAAAGCAGUGCUACAAAUCA